UACGUAGGGGGCUAGCGUUGUCCGGAAUCAUUGGGCGUAAAGCGCACGUAGGCGGAUCGUUAAGUCGGGGGUGAAAUCCUGGGGCUCAACCCCAGAACUGCCUUCGAUACUGGCGAUCUAGAGUCCGGAAGAGGUGAGUGGAACUCCUAGUGUAGAGGUGGAAUUCGUAGAUAUUAGGAAGAACACCAGUGGCGAAGGCGGCUCACUGGUCCGGUACUGACGCUGAGGUGCGAAAGCGUGGGGAGCAAACAGG
This 253-nucleotide ribosomal RNA is filed under the name uncultured bacterium. RNAcentral describes it as "partial 16S ribosomal RNA". It matches the Rfam family "Bacterial small subunit ribosomal RNA", at positions 524 to 776 of the family's 1533-position model. The record is from RNAcentral.